This 934-nucleotide long non-coding RNA is filed under the name Phoenix dactylifera (date palm). RNAcentral describes it as "long non-coding RNA (PDAC_LNC008046)". The record is from RNAcentral. Lineage: Eukaryota; Viridiplantae; Streptophyta; Magnoliopsida; Arecales; Arecaceae.
AGAUCUCCACGAUCAGCUCCUUCGUCCAUCAGCGUCCCAGCCGUCCGCCUCCUCCGUUCUUCCGCGAAGCACGCGCGAUUCUCCCGCACCCAAACGUCCGCCCGAGCCUGUGAAGCCGCCUCCUCCAUCCCGCAGCCGGCUCUUCAGCCAUUCCUUUUCCGCGUGUGAGCCAGCGUCCAUCUUGCAUCCCCUGAGUUCCCAGCAUCUUCGCAUCCUUCUGCAACGGAACAAGCAAGGAAUCCCAAGUCCCGCGAUCACCUCCCGGAUCCACGAUCUGCUCAUCUUCCGCUUGCCUCACACGCCUCCCAGCCGUUCGUGAGGUUCAUAGCAGCAUCCCGAGCCCAACACCCAGCUGUCCGUGGUGGUCUCCUUCCUCCCGGAUCCGUGAUCUGAUUUUCAGCGCCGGAUCCAGCCGCGAUUACCUCCCACCCCAUUCAUCCCGUUCGUCCGCUCAUCCCAGCACUCGUCCACGCCCCAUCUCCUGCGUUCGAUCCAAUCAUCCGAAUCCCAAGCGCCAGCAGUCCAAGCUUCAUCUUCAGCUCUCACUCGCUUCCGGAUCUUCCUCCCCACCAGCGCAUCAUCCGAGUCCCAGCGAUUUUCCAGCAUCUGAGUCCCAGAUUCCAGCGUCCGUUUUGAUUUGCUUGGAAGAUUAUUCAAAAUUUGGGGAGGUUUUCAUUGUAUAAAAAGGAACAGGGGGGAUCGGUUCAAAGAGGGCUCAUUUUGGGGGGGAGAAGAAGAGGAAGAACAGAGGCGCGGGGGGGAGCUCCAGCCGUUUGGGAAGAAAAAAAAGAAAAAGAAACAGGGUAUGCCCUGUUUCGGAAAAGAAAAAGGAAAAAAAAAAAAAGGGGAGUUGAUGUUUGUAAUGGCUUGCUAACUCUUUUGGCAAAGGGUGAUGGAUGAAUCCUUGUCAUGUUGCUCUCAUGAAGUAUACUCU